RNAcentral lists this ribosomal RNA (207 nucleotides) under uncultured bacterium. RNAcentral describes it as "partial 16S ribosomal RNA". It matches the Rfam family "Bacterial small subunit ribosomal RNA", at positions 568 to 774 of the family's 1533-position model. The record is from RNAcentral.
CUCGUAGGUGGUUUGUCGCGUUGUUCGUGAAAACUCACAGCUCAACUGUGGGCGUGCGGGCGAUACGGGCAGACUGGAGUACUGCAGGGGAGACUGGAAUUCCUGGUGUAGCGGUGAAAUGCGCAGAUAUCAGGAGGAACACCGGUGGCGAAGGCGGGUCUCUGGGCAAAUACUGACGCUGAGGAGCGAAAGCAUGGGUAGCAAACA